CUCGAGUGGCGAACGGGUGAGUAACACGUGAGUAACCUGCCCUUGACUUUGGGAUAACUUCAGGAAACUGGGGCUAAUACCGGAUAGGAGCUCCUGCUGCAUGGUGGGGGUUGGGAAAGGUUUCGGCGGUUGGGGAUGGACUCGCGGCUUAUCAGCUUGUUGGUGGGGUAGUGGCUUACCAAGGCUUUGACGGGUAGCCGGCCUGAGAGGGUGACCGGCCACAUUGGGACUGAGAUACGGCCCAG
RNAcentral lists this ribosomal RNA (245 nucleotides) under uncultured Actinomycetales bacterium. RNAcentral describes it as "partial 16S ribosomal RNA". It matches the Rfam family "Bacterial small subunit ribosomal RNA", at positions 90 to 334 of the family's 1533-position model. The record is from RNAcentral. Lineage: Bacteria; Bacillati; Actinomycetota; Actinomycetes; Actinomycetales.